AUGAAAAAGCCGGUCUCAUCGCCACUAAAACCAUAUGUGCUGAGCGAGAGAAAACCAGACAUACAUAUGGAAAGUCCCAUUUGGGCAGGCCGAACAAACCGGCAGCAAUGCGAAAUGCUCUCUGGUGGAUUUGUGCGCCUUCGUUGGGAAAUUUUGAAAAGUGCGCAAGGCAAAGGGGUGGACCUAGUGAGCAACAAUAACAAAGGUAUCACAACAAGAGUCAGCAACCACCAAGCGCUUAUGUGCACAUAUUUUGGGAGCAACACAAACAACAACUGCAACACUAAUAUCAACACCAGAGACGACGACAAAUUGUUAGUGGUUGCGGCCGGGCGGGCGAUUCAUUUUACAAUUUCUCAGAUUUUUCAUUCAUUCGUCGAAUAAACGUCGACGUUGUCGGUUCGUGCAGACGGUGGUAUUUUUGCGUCUCUUUGUUAAUAAAAGCAAAAAAGAAUUUUAUCUGCUAAAUACUUAAGCGAGCUCAAGCAAUUUUUAGCGACAGCAAUAUAAGCAACAACAACGUACGGUUGCGAUAUCAUUAUUAAAAUAUUCGAUGCUAAUUAGAAAAAUAAAUCAAAUCAAAUAAAAAAAAAAUAAUAAUUUGUGUGGUGUUAGCAAAGCGUUAAUUGCAAUUUGGCAAUUACCAAGUAAUUGUGGAAGCGAAACUAAUAAAAAAAAGAAUAAAUAAAUAAAUAAAACACACAAAUUCAUAUUAACAAAUUAGUGCUUUUGGAGCGUGAAAUAUUCGACGUUAAGCCGGGUUUCUUGUAGUGGGAUAGAUUUGUUGUUUGUUUUGUAAUUUGACGCCGCGAAAGUGCGUUUUCAAUCAACCAUUUUAUUUGAAAGAAAAAUACAAGGCAAAAAUUUAUAUUGUAACAAAGCGCAGACAUACAGCAAUCGAAGUUAAUUAAAAUCGAAUUGUGGCAGCCAGCAACAGUAGGAGCAGCGCCAGCAAAUGAACAACAAUAAUAAUAAAAAAAAAAAAACACAGUGGCAGAAGCGGCCAGCAGCAGCGACAGUAGCACAAAAGCGAAAGAGCGCAAAUUAAAAGCAAAUAACGAAUAAUUGAGAAAUCACAUUUGUGACUGCGCGUUAAUUAAAUAACAACAACAGCUACAACAACAGUAAGAAUUGAAUGCUUGUACAAGAAAAAUCAAACAAUCAGUGUAAAGAAAAUACAUAAAAUCCGCAAACAAGGAAAAAAUAUUCGAAGUAAAAAAUUAACACAUCAACAAUAGUGAAGAAGUGCUAAUACGAGUGAAAAAAUAAUAUAUGUACAUAACAUAACGAGCUGGAUAGAGUGCGAGAGAAUUGCUGAAAAGUGUAUGCAACGAAAAUUGUUUGGAUAGAAGCAUUGCAGUUAAAAGUGUUUCUACACCAACAAAAAAUAAGUAAAACAACUACUAAAGUGUCUACAUUAAAUUUCAGAGUGCUAAAAUAACAAUUUCAUUAUAAACAACUAUAAAAAGCGGCAGUAAUCAAAAAACCCAUAAUUUACUUAGUAAUCAACACAAAUUUUCUACGGCAAUAAAUAGUUUUGAAAAUACGCGUGGAAAAUAAAAAACAAAACAUAUACAUAUACUAACGUAAAUAAAUUGAUGAAUAUAAAAAAACAGCAGCAGAUCGGCAUUUAAAAUUAUUAUAGUGGAAGAAUCGCAUUGCUGACGAAUAAGAAAAAGUCAUCAACUU
Long non-coding RNA from Rhagoletis pomonella (apple maggot), 1689 nucleotides. RefSeq lists it as uncharacterized. The transcript has 2 exons. The record is from RefSeq and is a predicted model, not a curated record. NCBI's taxonomy places the organism in Eukaryota, Metazoa, Arthropoda, Insecta, Diptera, Tephritidae.